GAUGAACGCUGGCGGCGUGCCUAAUACAUGCAAGUCGAGCGAACGGACGAGAAGCUUGCUUCUCUGAUGUUAGCGGCGGACGGGUGAGUAACACGUGGAUAACCUACCUAUAAGACUGGGAUAACUUCGGGAAACCGGAGCUAAUACCGGAUAAUAUUUUGAACCGCAUGGUUCAAAAGUGAAAGACGGUCUUGCUGUCACUUAUAGAUGGAUCCGCGCUGCAUUAGCUAGUUGGUAAGGUAACGGCUUACCAAGGCAACGAUGCAUAGCCGACCUGAGAGGGUGAUCGGCCACACUGGAACUGAGACACGGUCCAGACUCCUACGGGAGGCAGCAGUAGGGAAUCUUCCGCAAUGGGCGAAAGCCUGACGGAGCAACGCCGCGUGAGUGAUGAAGGUCUUCGGAUCGUAAAACUCUGUUAUUAGGGAAGAACAUAUGUGUAAGUAACUGUGCACAUCUUGACGGUACCUAAUCAGAAAGCCACGGCUAACUACGUGCCAGCAGCCGCGGUAAUACGUAGGUGGCAAGCGUUACCCGGAAUUAUUGGGCGUAAAGCGCGCGUAGGCGGUUUUUUAAGUCUGAUGUGAAAGCCCACGGCUCAACCGUGGAGGGUCAUUGGAAACUGGAAAACUUGAGUGCAGAAGAGGAAAGUGGAAUUCCAUGUGUAGCGGUGAAAUGCGCAGAGAUAUGGAGGAACACCAGUGGCGAAGGCGACUUUCUGGUCUGUAACUGACGCUGAUGUGCGAAAGCGUGGGGAUCAAACAGGAUUAGAUACCCUGGUAGUCCACGCCGUAAACGAUGAGUGCUAAGUGUUAGGGGGUUUCCGCCCCUUAGUGCUGCAGCUAACGCAUUAAGCACUCCGCCUGGGGAGUACGACCGCAAGGUUGAAACUCAAAGGAAUUGACGGGGACCCGCACAAGCGGUGGAGCAUGUGGUUUAAUUCGAAGCAACGCGAAGAACCUUACCAAAUCUUGACAUCCUUUGACAACUCUAGAGAUAGAGCUUUCCCCUUCGGGGGACAAAGUGACAGGUGGUGCAUGGUUGUCGUCAGCUCGUGUCGUGAGAUGUUGGGUUAAGUCCCGCAACGAGCGCAACCCUUAAGCUUAGUUGCCAUCAUUAAGUUGGGCACUCUAAGUUGACUGCCGGUGACAAACCGGAGGAAGGUGGGGAUGACGUCAAAUCAUCAUGCCCCUUAUGAUUUGGGCUACACACGUGCUACAAUGGACGAUACAAAGGGCAGCGAAACCGUGAGGUCAAGCAAAUCCCAUAAAGUUGUUCUCAGUUCGGAUUGUAGUCUGCAACUCGACUACAUGAAGCUGGAAUCGCUAGUAAUCGUAGAUCAGCAUGCUACGGUGAAUACGUUCCCGGGUCU
This 1372-nucleotide ribosomal RNA is filed under the name uncultured bacterium. RNAcentral describes it as "bacterial SSU rRNA". It matches the Rfam family "Bacterial small subunit ribosomal RNA", at positions 28 to 1381 of the family's 1533-position model. The record is from RNAcentral.